UUUUAUAUAGUUUAAAAUAAAACAAUUCAUUUUCAAUGAAUAAAAGAAUUAAUAUAUUCUAUAAAUA
Molecule: transfer RNA, 67 nt
Filed under: Metrocoris esakii
Lineage: Eukaryota; Metazoa; Arthropoda; Insecta; Hemiptera; Gerridae
Also listed under: 5 other names
Description: tRNA-Glu
Source: RNAcentral